Long non-coding RNA from Dermacentor silvarum, 570 nucleotides. RefSeq lists it as uncharacterized. The transcript is spliced from 3 exons. Lineage: Eukaryota; Metazoa; Arthropoda; Arachnida; Ixodida; Ixodidae. The record is from RefSeq and is a predicted model, not a curated record.
UUCGGUUUCAGAAAAGUUUCGGGGCAUGAUGGAUGCGUCCACACUCAAACUGACCAGCUCAGCAGUAAAGGCCCAGAGUCGGCUGGGAGAAGGCCAUGACAUAGUAGCCAAUAGGAAGUCGGCCAAAGAAUGCGGGUCCAUGGCUUUGCUUGUGUGUGACAUUGUCAACUGUAAGUGACUCCAGAAGGCCACCAGUGGGGACUUGACUUGGGAAGGCUUUGACUUCAAGAAGCUAUGACUGAGACUUUUGAGCAAAGCAGCAGACGGCGUCAACGCAGACAUCAAAGAGUUACAAGAGUGCAUCGGGCAUCUGUGACAAGUUUGGCUGAGUGUAUAUAGCCGUCGAGUGUUCUGUAUUUGUAAUAAAAUUAUCAGCUUUUUGUUAGUGUUCACUAAAGUGUAUGGCACAGAUGUCUGUUUUUGUUUUUUGUUUUCUAAGCUUUCAAAGCUGUGCGUCUUUCCUUGGACGUGUGCUUUGCUUUGUUGCAAAGCAAAAGUCAAAUGUGUCAGUAUGUUAACGUCCUCUAUCCUGUGCCUGGGACCACAUUUAGAAACUAUAAAUUUUAUGUU